RNAcentral lists this long non-coding RNA (5581 nucleotides) under Homo sapiens (human). Its description in RNAcentral is "non-protein coding lnc-PRKN-21:10". The record is from RNAcentral. Lineage: Eukaryota; Metazoa; Chordata; Mammalia; Primates; Hominidae.
GAGAACAGUCUGGAAGACAAUGACAGAGUGCUUGCCUGGGGAGUCGGAGGAGCUCCGGUUAUGUCCAAGCCGAACCCCUGGAGCCUCUGGACUGCCUGGCACUGAGGGAGCGGGAACUGGACGGUGGGCAUGUGGCCGGGAGGAGCCUUCCAACCAGAAGAAACUAAGUUUUCAAGUUUCCUGCUGUGUCAUCUCAACUGGAAAGUGUCGUCCCCCAGGAAGUCUCCUGCCCUCCCUCUCUGCACAGGGAGCCGCUUCCCACUCUGUCCUUCGAUGGACACGCUGAUGCAGCUGGGAAUGAGCUUGGAAACGCUAACUGACCAGAGUGAUUUCUGGGCCCUGAGUGCAUUACAGAUGGAGAAAGCUUCUGAAUUCUCUAUGGAACUCCAGGCCUGACCUUGGGAUGGGAGACGGGCGGCUGGGCGCACAAGGAAAGAGGCCUCGCCUUGCGCCACGGAGGAGGUGCUACCCCGAGCACUGUCUGGGGAGGAUUUCAAGGCUGUGCCCAGGCCACCCCUGAUGGAUGCAUCAGUCACUUCAGCCAUGGUGCCGGCAGGGAGCCCAAGCGCGGGAGCAUCCUCUGUCGUCCUCGCAGCCGGGACCCUCUCAUUUCCUGUCUGCACAGCAGCCCCGGCGUGUUCCUCUGUGAAAGCCAGGAGCACGGGGGUGACGCCUUCUGGGCCUGCCACUGUUCCUUCAGAAGCGACCUUUGACCUCCCCAUCAGCCUGUGCUGCUAGGUCUGGGGUCAUUUUCUGCUCAGAUAUCUCCUCUCCCUGACGAUCGAUUCCCCCUGGAGGGGUGAGCCACUGUCGGGAGGGGAGACGGAGCUGAGCAUGCAAGGAAGGGCAACCCCAGCCCAGAUCCUGGAGGGCUUUGGGCUUCCAGGUAGAAGCCGGUCUUCGCGUCAGCAAACCAAGAAAAUGCCUCCCUGAAAUGGUCUCCAGGUCCCCCCAAACACCUGCCUCCCCCUCCAGCCUUCUCCACUGAUGCCUGCAGCUGCAUAAGUAGUGUUUCAUUGCACCCCAGCAGGAGCUGGUACCGGUUCUUCCCUUGCCUCAUGCUGGGGUAGAUUUUAUUUAGGAUUGGGAGCAGGGAAAGGAGCUAGAGAAAGGAAGGGUUCCAGGAAGCUGGGAAGGGAGAUGUCAGGUGGGGUGAUGGGAAAGGAGGCCAAGGACCACCUUUGCCUGUAUGGUGGGCUGAACUGUGUCCCCACAAAAGAUAGGGCGUCCUAACCCCAGAUACCUGUGAAUGUGACCUUAUUUGGGAAUAGAGUUUUUGCAAAUGGAAUCAAGUCAUGAUGACGUCAUUAGCAUGAGCCUUAAUUUAAUAGGAUUGAUGUCCUUCUAAGAAGAGAAGACAGGGACACACAGGAGAAAGCCAUGUGAUGAAGCAGGCAGGAGCUGGAGCGACACUACCACAGGCCAAGGAACAUUGGGACCAGAAGAGGCGAGGAGGGGCCGUUCCCUAGAGGCUUUGGAGAGAGCAUGGCUCAUCAACACCUUGACUUCAGACUGGUAGCCCCCAAACGGUGACAGAAUAAUUGUCUAUUGUUUUAAGCCCCCUGGCUUAUAGUACGUUGUAAAGGCAGCCCUAGGAAGCCCUAAGCCAGUUUCACUCAUUAUGAUAAAUAUCAUAGAUGAUGACUGUCAUAUAUUGGAUGUGCUGGAGAUCUUCACAGCCACAGAAUAAACUGCAGGCCAAAAAAAGAACAUUCAUAUGAGGUCCCCAGCAGGGGCUGGCUGUGCAAGUCAGAGACUGCAGAACCAGGUAGGCAGACAAAGCGAAAUUGCCUGGAGCUGGACACAUAUGUGCACCACUGGGAAAUAAAUAGACUUGCGGUGGAAAUGACCAACGUGGAUGGCCAGGGAAAUGCCAGCAGCAAUAAAAGAAAAGAGUGCACAAGGCCUGUAAAUCAGCAGAUGCGAGAGCUCCCGAAAAGUAGCGAAGUCUGAAAUAAAAGGCAGGCUCAGGCUGGUGGUCCAAGAAGUUAAAGCAGGAAAUGAGAGCGUGGGCACUGUGUGUGCUGGGCUCCCAAAGACUGCAGGGAGUGGCCAGAUGUCUCCAGAGGCAGCGUCAUGUGGAGCAAAGGGGACCUGAGGAGUGUCAGCAUCCUCAGUCACCUCCUCCUUUGAACCAGCUGUUCGGAAUCUGGUCUCUUACUUAGGAUAAUUGUAGGAACUGACUUUUUUUUUUUUUCUUUUCUCACCUAUUGGCUGACUGAAAGAACCGACUUUUAAAUGAGCACCUCCCUCAUUAGAAUUGCUCAAAUGACAACAGCUGCAGCGGUGGGAGCAGCAGCAAGUUUGAAAAUCCAACAGUCUGCAUUCCACAGUGACAGUAUUCUUGGUCACCUCGGAGACAUGGCAGCCGGGAGCCACGGCUCUCAUUGCUCGGGGUUGGUUGGGUUACCAGCCCUAGGGCUACAGAAUGUAUCUAAAAGAGAGGCUUGGCUGGCAGUUUAAGAGGGGUGCAGGACAGCAGGAUGGGGUUCAUGAGGCAAGAGUGGAUGGAGCCUGUGGCCCAGUUGGGAUGAGAUGGGACAGUUCCAAUGGGCAGGACAAACCCCAGCCACCGUCUCAGGGUAUUUGACAGGAGGUAAACAGCAGACAAAAUCCUGGAGCACAGGGGGGCAGGGCUGUCUCGUUCCCAUGAAUGGCAACAUUGGAGGACUGACCCCCAAGAGCGUGGUUUUGUCGUCAGCCUCAAAGGCAUGGCUUUCUCUCUGGCGUUGGCAGCAGCCGCUCAGCACCAUAGCUAGGGAGCAGCGGCCUAGAUCCCUCACAUUUAUUUCACUUUGACUCUUUUGACCAAAGCACCACUGUUUAAGGCCUCAUUUUUCUUCUCCCAUGUGGAAAAUCAUAUUGCUUAAAUUUAAAAAUGAAGAUAGAUAGAUGGAUGAAAAAAUCCCCAUAGAGCAAAAUUCUGCCUGUGACAAAAAGGUCUCCACGUCUGAGGUGACAGUCAACUUCAAGUGACGCCAAGAACAUCAAAAUCUCUCUAUAAAAAAAGAAUAGGAAGCAAUGGGGCUCGUGAAAAUGCCACAUCAAGAAAAGUCAACAAAUACAUACUUAGUGGUAACUAUGGUUGCAGAGAAAGAGAAAACUUAAAACAAUAUGAACAUAUGUGGUCAUAUAGACUGAAAACCCACCGUGUCAUAAAACCCCAGGACACAGAACGCAUCAGCGUAGACAGCAGCUGUACAGACAAUGCUGGGGCGGUUGUGGAGUGGGAUUAGAAGACAGGAGGCGCCAUCGAGUCAGCUCCAAGGCCAUUAGCCUUGUGACGCCAGCAAAAUGUGUGAGUGGGGAGCCUCUACGUUCUCUCCUGUGAAAUGGGGAUGACAGUACUUCCUUGUAGGGUUGUGGUAACGAAGUUAUUCAGCACAGAGCUUGGCAUGUGGUCAUAACAAGGAGUGGCGGAUAAUGAUAAUAUGGUAACAGUAGGCAUCAUUGUGAGAAGGGACAGAGACUCAAUGUGAAAAGUAUAGAAAGGGCUCUUACAAAUCUCCAAGCACAUAAAAGUCCCUAAAAGACAAAUGGCGAAGGGUUCACAGUUCACAGAAAUGGAAAAAAAGAAAUGAAUGAAUUCAAUGAAUAUUAGGGGAAGAAAACCGUUACUAAUUAGUGACGAAGCACAAAGUAAUCUUCAAAAGUCACUGGAUUUUUCAAUGAGAAGGAGAAGUUAGGCAGCUACCAAAUAGCUGAAAGAAUAUUAAAUCUGAUGGAUCCAGCCAAAUAAAAAUGUUCAUUCAUAGGAUCUGUGGUUGUUGAGGAAUCUUCUAAGUUUCAUAAAUGGCAAAAACUCUUUCUCAGACUUACAGAUCAGACCUCACAUAUGCAUGAGAAGAGAAGCUAUUUUUGUCUCUGGGUUCCAGUUACACAGCCACAGCCUGGAAGCUUUGUUCUCAGAAUUCAUGCUGUCAUCAAAAGGACUCAAUACAAACACUGCAGCCAGCCUGCCAUGGCUUAGCUGUGACCGCAGCUGCAAACUCUUCUGUCAUGUGAAAACUUUUGGCUUUUUCCGGGUGUGGAAUGCCUGUUGGUCCCAGCUCCGCCUGCCUUUCCUCCUUCUGGAAUCGUGUCCAUCCUUUCAGUCAACUCAGUUUGUCCGCAUCUUCCAGGCCUCAUACCUCCGCCUGAUCUGCAUGGCAGUGGUGGGCUUGCUCUUUGUGCUAUUACACUGACUGUGAUCGUGUUUAGUGAGUCAGCUUCUACAAAGUUGACCUGCACCUGUGUGAUGUCUCUCCCUAGCUGGAUGCAGCUUCUCCAUGGGCUAAGUUCAUCAUGUUAACAGUGCCUGCCCCACAGGCCCUCAGGGGAUCUUAGUGGGUGGUCUAUGGAGAGACUUUAGUGGGUAUAUGAAUCCCCAAAAUUGUAGGCAAAGUUUGUGUAUGCUGUGGCCUAUCGACAGCGGGGACUCUGCCGCUGAUUUCUCCUAAGAAGCCUCCUGGGGGUUUGAGCGAAUCGUGGUGGUCUCCUUCCCUCUGGAGUGAUUAGUUUUGGCUUUGGCUCAACAUGGUGCAGACCCAUGGGAUCCAAAGGGAAGUUGGCCGGGCAUUUCUGGGAAGGAUGUCUCUUCUUCUGAUUUCUGAGUGAGGGUAGGAAGCCCUCUUCUUCAUCAGACGCCAUGGCUCUUACACGAAUGAUGCCUAGAGCAGACACAGCCCUUCCAGGACCAGAGGCCAAGGCUGACAAUGGGACAAGAGGGCGGAGGAAGAAGUGGGGAGCACCUAAGCCUUCCUCUGACCAAGCACUGUCCUAACCAAUUCUGAUUGGUUCACUUCUAGUUACAUGAUAUAAUAAACGUCCUAUUUCUUAAGGCACUUUUAACAUGAGUGCAGCAUUUUAGAGUUUCAUCAGGUGAUCCACUGGAUCUGAGUCUCUGCUCAGGCUUAAGGAUGCCCAUAAAAGGUGCCCAAUUAAAUGUUGAUUGGUUGAUUGGCACACAGAGAAUCGCUGGAAGUGCCGCUGAGUCAUCCAGGUGCUAAGAGAGCUUGCCAGGCCUGUCUAGAGGAGGUUGGCCAACUGGAGUGUGUUGUUCUCCCACUCAAGUCCACUGCCCAGUGCUGCCAGGUGUGGGAGAGCAACUCAGAGAGGGCUGGAUGUUAGACCAAGCAAGGUCUUGAGAGUGUCACGCUCAGGGAGAUGCCCAAGAGGGGACCAGCUGGCUGUUUGUGUGGGUGUUUCCUCACUGGGUAAACAGGAGAGAAUCCUCCUUAUCAAGGGCCUGUAGAGUAGAUGGACUUAAGCUUUUGCACCCACUCUGGCUGAGCUGUAGUGUUAAGAAGGAUUCUGAAGCUGUGUCCAUAUUUAACUGGAAACUGUGCCGUGAUUAUUAGUUAAGUGUCCCAUGGAUACAAAUGGAAAGAAUCGAGGCAUUCACGCCAGUGAUUCAUCCCCCCUGUCUAGGGUCUGGUUCUCGGCUUUUUAGAUCAGGAGACUCAGGGAGCCCCUUCAAAGUAGAUACCCACUUCAAAAGUGGGUUCAUCUAUCUCCUGGAAAAUGCCCCACUCCCUUUGAUAGACUGUUCUGCUCAAAAACAUCUUCUGACUGAGCACAGUGGCUCACGCCUUUAAUUCCA